RNAcentral lists this RNase P RNA (393 nucleotides) under Desulfobacterales bacterium CG23_combo_of_CG06-09_8_20_14_all_51_8. RNAcentral's name for it is "RNase P RNA component class A". It matches the Rfam family "Bacterial RNase P class A". From Rfam's summary of the family: Ribonuclease P (RNase P) is a ubiquitous endoribonuclease, found in archaea, bacteria and eukarya as well as chloroplasts and mitochondria. Its best characterised activity is the generation of mature 5'-ends of tRNAs by cleaving the 5'-leader elements of precursor-tRNAs. The record is from RNAcentral. Lineage: Bacteria; Pseudomonadati; Thermodesulfobacteriota; Desulfobacteria; Desulfobacterales.
CGGCGCGGUAAAAAUGAUCGCCGGCGCGUCCGGAGGAAAGUCCGAACACCACAGGGCAGGGUGCUCCAUAACGUGGAGUCGCGGCAACGCGAAGGAAAGUGCAACAGAGAGCAGACCGCCCGGCAGGGGGAAGCGGCAUUCCGCGGUUUCCCAUGUCGGGUAAGGGUGAAACGGUGCGGUAAGAGCGCACCAGUUUUCCGGGUGACCGGAAAAGCUUGGUAAACCCCACCCGGUGCAAGACCAAAUAGGGGAGUGCUUGAGGGCGGCCCGUCCAAGCUCCCGGGUAGGUCGCAAGAGGUGAUGGGCAACCGUCAUCCGAAGAUGAAUGAUCAUUGCCCGGUCCCAGGUAACUGAGGCCGGGAACAGGAUUCGGCUUAUUGACCGCACUGACCG